CCUACGGGUGGCAGCAGUGAGGAAUAUUGGUCAAUGGGCGCAAGCCUGACCCAGCAACGCCGCGUGAAGGAAGAAGGCCCUCGGGUUGUAAACUUCUUUUAUUCGGGACGAAACACAUGCCGGUCCCGAAUGACUAAGCCACGGCUAACUACGGGCCCGGAGCCGCGGUAAUACGUAGGUGGCAAGCGUUAUGCGGAUUUACUGGGUUUAAAGGGCGUGUAGGCGGGAGGGCAAGUCAGACGUUAAAUUCCAGGGCCCAACCCUGGAAGGGCGUUUGAAACUGUUGUUCUUGAGUGAUGGAGAGGUAGGCGGAAUGCCGGGUGUAGCGGUGAAAUGCGUAGAUAUACGGAGGAACACCAGUGGCGAAGGCGGCCUGCUGGACAGCAACUGACGCUGAGGCGCGAAAGCGUGGGGAGCAAACAGGAUUAGAUACCCUUGUAGUC
RNAcentral lists this ribosomal RNA (443 nucleotides) under uncultured bacterium. Its description in RNAcentral is "partial 16S ribosomal RNA". It matches the Rfam family "Bacterial small subunit ribosomal RNA", at positions 338 to 795 of the family's 1533-position model. The record is from RNAcentral.